This is a long non-coding RNA of Diceros bicornis minor, 1027 nucleotides long. RefSeq lists it as uncharacterized. The record is from RefSeq and is a predicted model, not a curated record. Lineage: Eukaryota; Metazoa; Chordata; Mammalia; Perissodactyla; Rhinocerotidae. The transcript is spliced from 2 exons.
GUGCGCCCACCCCGCCCCUCCGGCUGUGACCCCGGGUCCCUACGGUUCUGGACAACUAUACAGCUCCGGACCACGCCCCGCUGAUGCGUAGGGGCCGCCGAGCCGGUCGAGGGCUGUCCACCCAGUUGGGGGUCGCAGCAGAGCGCUCCGAGGUGCUUAGCUGGGUUUCAGCGAUCAGGAAGGAAGUGGGCUUCAACUCCGGGAUAUCACGGGUCCUGCAGUGAGAGGUGGAAUUGCCACCAGAGUUCUGCCCACUGUGAGUGCCCAGCAAAGGAUGAGGAAGGUUAUGGAGUCUGUCUGCUAGUAUGUAAAAACAGGAGGGAGUUUCAUCUGGUUGGAAUGGUUUGGGUGUGGUUCCACCAGAAGAGAGGAAAAGGUCUAAAUAUGUCUUCAAGGUCCUUCUCGUUUUAUGGGCGUAUUUUAAAACCCUGAACUUGAAGAUGAUCAGCGUCCAUCACCGUCUGAACAGACAAACUACGCUGUCAUCAGCAGCUGGGAAAACUGCUGGGGUGACAUAGUCAAGUUACAGACAGCAUAAAACUACACUCUUCACUGGUUGAAACAAAGAGGAAAUUUAUUGAUUCACAGAUGAGGUUCAGAGAUUGGGAAGGUUUCCGGAUGAAGUUAAUUCAGUGGCUCCAGCUCCAUUUUUCUGCCGUUCCCUUGAGUCCGCCUUUCUCUGUGUGCCGGCUUCCUCCUCAAGUUGGUGGUGAAUUGGCUACAGCAGUUCAGGACCUCACUUUCACACCUGACCAUGUUCAGAGGACAUUGAAGGAAAUUUGUCUCUGGAAGUUAUCCAAUGUCUUCAAUGAAAGUUCAGCCUCAGGUUAUUCAGCCUUGUAAGUUUUUUCUUUUAACAAUUAGAUGCCUGAAAAAGUAUCUCUGAAGUUCAUUAGUUUACAGGGUCGUUGAUAGAUUAAAUGAGAUAAUAUAAGUGAAACCGCCUUGUAAACUGAUAUGUACUUGUAAGAUAUCUUUUCUCAGAAAGGUCUUUUUUAAAAAAGAAUAAUAAAUGUGCUCAACUGGA